RNAcentral lists this ribosomal RNA (497 nucleotides) under uncultured bacterium. RNAcentral's name for it is "partial 16S ribosomal RNA". It matches the Rfam family "Bacterial small subunit ribosomal RNA", at positions 28 to 507 of the family's 1533-position model. The record is from RNAcentral.
GACGAACGCUGGCGGCGUGCCUAAUACAUGCAAGUUGAGCGAUGAAGAUUGGUGCUUGCACCAAUUUGAAGAGCAGCGAACGGGUGAGUAACGCGUGGGGAAUCUGCCUUUGAGCGGGGGACAACAUUGGGAAACGAAUGCUAAUACCGCAUAACAACUUUAAACAUAAGUUUUAAGUUUGAAAGAUGCAAUUGCAUCACUCAAAGAUGAUCCCGCGUUGUAUUAGCUAGUUGGUGAGGUAAAGGCUCACCAAGGCGAUGAUACAUAGCCGACCUGAGAGGGUGGGCGGCCAGCUUGGGACGGAGACCCGCCCCAAACUCCUACGGGUGGCAGCAGUAGGGAAUCUUCGGCAAUGGGCGGAAGUCUGACCGAGCAACGCCGCGUGAGUGAAGAAGGUUUUCGGGUCGUGAAACUCUGUUGGUGGGGAAGAACGUUGGUGAGAGUGGAAAGCUCAUCAAGUGACGGUAACUACCCAGAAAGGGACGGCUAACUACGUG